AUGGAAUCUAAUUAACAAUAUAUUUACAUAGAUACCCAUCAAAUUGAGAUUUUUUAAGGAAUUUUGUUGCGACACGUUUUUGUAUUGCAAUUUAUAUCAUAUUUAUCUUGAUUGCGAUUCCAUGAUACUGGCUUUCUGAUUUUUCAGUAAUCAUCAAUAUAUAAAAUAUUAGAUUUGUCCGAGAAACUACAUACAUUUCUGUCGUCCUGUGCGUAUGCAUGUUUUACUCAUAAGGCCUAAGUUUAGCAGCAACGUCGGUGGUAACUGGAAGUUUCUUUCAGUCUUACUCUUCCAUACGCAAGCAAAACGGUACUGCAUUAAUUCUCAAAUCGGUAGCCUCUCAGGUGCAGUGGUGAUGUAAAAGCCCAGCAAACUAAAAUUGGCAAUUUUCUCAAGUUUCAAAUGGCUGUACCAAUCUUCAGCUACAUUUUUUCUAAGCUAAAUAGAUCUGUCAAGGAUUUAAGCAAGGAGCUCAUAUUUCCCACUUUGUAAAAGCUGAAGUUUUAACUUGAUGAAUGCACA
Molecule: unclassified non-coding RNA, 522 nt
Filed under: Hevea brasiliensis (rubber tree)
Lineage: Eukaryota; Viridiplantae; Streptophyta; Magnoliopsida; Malpighiales; Euphorbiaceae
Source: RNAcentral